RNAcentral lists this unclassified non-coding RNA (231 nucleotides) under Hevea brasiliensis (rubber tree). Lineage: Eukaryota; Viridiplantae; Streptophyta; Magnoliopsida; Malpighiales; Euphorbiaceae. The record is from RNAcentral.
UUUUAAUCUAUUUCUAUUUCUUUGGUUGAAUUUGUAUUACUUCUCUCUGGUGCAUUUUUAGCAUUUACAAAAUUUAAGCAACUUGUGCACAUCUUUCUGUUCACAGAUUAAAAUGUAUUUAUUUAUUUAGCUAAACUAACUGCAUGCAAAAUGUCAUGGCUUUACCUUUUGGCCUUUGUAGAGGGCCAUCCUGGACUAUUUUUCUGAUUAAUUACCAUUCUUGAAUUAAUG